GGGGAAUAUUGGGCAAUGGACGCAAGUCUGACCCAGCAACGCCGCGUGAAGGAAGAAGGCUUUCGGGUUGUAAACUUCUUUUAAGGGGGAAGAGUAGAAGACGGUACCCCUUGAAUAAGCCACGGCUAACUACGUGCCAGCAGCCGCGGUAAUACGUAGGUGGCAAGCGUUGUCCGGAUUUACUGGGUGUAAAGGGCGUGUAGCCGGGAAGGUAAGUCAGAUGUGAAAUCUGGGGGCUCAACCUCCAAACUGCAUUUGAAACUACUUUUCUUUAGUAUCAGGGAGGGAAUCGGAAUUUCUUGUUUGGCGGGGAAAUGCGGAGGUUUAAGGAAGAACAACAGGGGCGAAGGCGGAUUACUGGACGACAACUGACGGGGGGGCGCGAAAGCGUGGGGAGCAAACA
RNAcentral lists this ribosomal RNA (403 nucleotides) under uncultured Oscillibacter sp. RNAcentral describes it as "bacterial SSU rRNA". It matches the Rfam family "Bacterial small subunit ribosomal RNA", at positions 356 to 774 of the family's 1533-position model. The record is from RNAcentral. Lineage: Bacteria; Bacillati; Bacillota; Clostridia; Eubacteriales; Oscillospiraceae.